Molecule: long non-coding RNA, 4574 nt
Filed under: Sus scrofa (pig)
Lineage: Eukaryota; Metazoa; Chordata; Mammalia; Artiodactyla; Suidae
Description: lncRNA (ENSSSCG00045025439.1)
Source: RNAcentral
UUUUUGCCAUUUCUAGGGCCACUUCUGCAGCAUAUGGAGGUUCCCAGGCUAGGGGUCUAAUCAGAGCUGUAGCCACCGGCCUACACAAGAGCCACAGCAAUGUGGCAUCUGAGCCACGUCUGCAACCUACACCAUAGCUCAUGGCAAGCUGGAUCCUUAACCCACUGAGAAAGGCCAGGGAUUGAACCCGCAAUCUCAUGGUUCCUAGUCGGAUUUGUUAACCACUGAGCCAUGAUGGGAACUCCAUAUGCUUCCUUUUUAAAUCCUAGUUAUGGAAGCUAUUUAAACCAUACCCAUGAAGUCAGAAGCAGGGUGAUAAGAAUUAAUAGGAGAAAAGAAAGCUCACAUCCUUUUGUGGGUUCAGAUUGGAGGUGGGGAGAGGAGAGACUUAGGGAGGGGAUAGUGUCAGAGGGGAGACUUAGAGAUAAUUCACUGAAUCCCCUUUGAGUCUAUCCUUAAAUUCUUUUAGAAAAAUUAAUCUCCAAAUAUUUAAUUUUGAUUAUUAACAAAAUAUCUUUCUACCAAUGGCAAUUAAUAAAAUUAGAAAGCAGAAAAACAGACCAGCUGAUUUCUCUCUUCUUAAUCACAUAUAUUUGGCAGGGUAUAGUUUUAUUUAUUUGUUUUGUUCUGCCUUCUAUCUUGCUUCAUUCCAAAAAGACAUAAUAUGGCUUAUAGAAAAAAAAUGCAUAUAAUGUGAUAUAUAAAAAGAAGAAUCAAAACAAGUAAAAUGUAAAUUAUAAUAGAAUGGCAGGAUCCAGAGAGUAAUUCGGAGGAUUAUAAAAUCCCAUUGAUUUUUUAUAGGUGAAAACUUGGUUCUGAAAAAAAUCUUGACACUCAAAGGGCAGUGAACAACACAAUCACAGAGUUAUCAUGGAGGAAAAAGAACAUAUCAAUUGUACAGAGGAAGUAAAGUUUUUCUUAGCAGUUAGUGUGAAAGAAAUAUUUUACCUAGGGCUUCUUUCAGGAAGACCCAAUGACACAAUGUCCUUUACAAAAUACCAGCAGCAAUUUAGGGGCAGAUAUUUCCCCUAAACUGCUCAUAAAUUUGAGCUCUAUAACGCAAAAUAAAUCUUAUGAAUAAGGGAGGGGACAAAUUUUUGUCUGUAAGUUAUGGUUCAAUGUAUCAUUUUGUUAACUUUGGAUGAUUUUAUGUGAAUUUUUUCAAAUAAAGCCAAUCUAGGUAGUAGAGAGAACAUAUUGAAAACCACAGAUGGCCACGCAACAUGGCCAGCAGAAUACCAGUGGAAAUGACAGUGGGCCAAUUUUACACCGAAGGAGUAUGUGGCAUUGUGUCCUUUACUUGCUCCUCUGAAAACUUUUGAUCUCAGCCAAAUGGAUGUGCUCUAGGUAGUUGCUUCCUCCUCAGUGUGGGCCACAGAACAUAGCUGACCUUAACUUGAAGUUUGAAUAAGGCCUAUUCCAGCAGACCUGAAGACCUGUGAGUAAGAAAUACAUGCUUAUAUUUUAUACCACUUAGAUUUUGUAGUUAUUUGUUAAAUAGCAUUAUUGUGGCAAUAGCCUUCCAAUACCCUGCCUUGACUACUUCACAAAGUUGUUCUGAAGAUUGAGAGAAAUGAUCAGGGGUAUUAUUUGCAUAAUCAAACUUGAUGGGUAAAUUAUAACUGCUCACUUCUCUGAUGUUUAUUCCCAUAUAUGAUUUAUAGAAUUUUCAGUAGAUCUACCUGCUGUAUGCUGGAGAAUGAACUGAUACUGGGAUAGUCACAGAUUCAGGGAAGUAUUGUGAAAACUUUGGAGCAAGCAAAUAACAGAGGAUGUGGUUCAUUAUACCUAGCAUUGCCAGAUACACUAGCUGACAUCUUAUGUGGACCCUGUGUAUUGCAACAGACAACAUGUAUAUCAUGCAUAAACCAGGGGCUGAGUUGAGACUGCUGGCUGGAAUGAUAUAAACAAACAAUCCACAAGGACCUCAAAAGACUGUGACAAAAGCGUAAUGAGCUACCAAAAGGACAAAGCUGAAGUCAAGCUGGCCUACUAUUAAGCACUUAUCAUUUGAUAUGAUUGAUAUUACUUUAUUCUCAUCAAUACAAUUCUGAAUUAUCUACUUGUCUUUUUCUGGAGGCCAUCAUAGGCUUUAUAAUGAUAAUAACCAUAUUUCUAGAUAUUCUUAUUUAAACUACUUUGAUCACCCUAAAUCAAAUUAAAUAAACAUUUAUCAAGUGCCUUCCAAAAUUUUCAGUAUAUAAUUACUAGGUACCCAUUAUGAGUAACAUAACAUGUGGCCCCAGAGUAGGGCAGGCAGACCAUGGACAUGGUUAAAUAUAUUCCAGAUCGUACAAUACAUGAGGACUGUAUGAAGGCUAAAAAGAUGUCACUGAUGGGAACCAGGACAUACCAACUCAAACUAUGGAACUUUGGUAUAAGAAUUAUUUUGAACUGGAUGCGUUUGAAUUCCUGAAAUCUUUUAUCUGCUUAAAAGUAGAGCCUCCCCAAAGAACUCAAUUGUCAUAAUUCCCUAGAUGCUCUAAUCUUCUCUUUAGGAGCACCACACCCAGCCAGACACUGUCACAAACUACUCUUUCUCCCAUUUAUUCUCCUUUUGUCAUUACAGAAAGUUACUUGCUUUUCCAUACUUGCCCUUUCUUUCCCUCUCUUUCCUCUACUAGGUUAGUUAUAUAGACCCCAAAUUCUAACCACAACUUUCUGUGUUACUCAUUUCUUUCUGUGUUACUCGUACCCCCAUAUGUUAACAUACUCCAUGUACAUGUUAAUAAAUUUCUGUUCAUUUUUCUCUUGUUAAUCUGUCUUUUGUCCAUCUAAUUUAUAGGGCCUCUGCUGGAGCACCUCAGAAAGAAGGAAAAAGAAUUUUUUCCUCCCUUACUUCACAAAGUUUAUAAUCCAUGAUAUAUUUCAGCAUGUUAUAGGGGUGUAAUUGCUGGGUAAUAUGGUAGUUCUAUUUUUAAUUUCUGAGGGAUCCUAUGCCAUUUUCAAUAGUGGCUGUACCAAACUCCUACCACAAUAGAUUAGGGUUCCUUUUUCUCCACAUUCUUAUCAAUAUUUGCUAUUAUACUCUUUUUGUCAAUAGUCAUUCUGACAAGUGUGAGGUGAUAUCUCAAUUGGUUUUGAUUUGCAUUUCCAUGAUGAUUAGUGAUGUCAAGCAUCUAUUCAUGUGCCUGUUAGCCAUCUGCUUGUCUUCUUUGAAAAAAAUAUAUGUAAAGAUAUUCUGCCUAUUUUUUGCAUAGGUUGUUUGAUAUUUAUUUAUUUAUUUAUUUUUUCCACUGUACAGCAUGGGGGCCAAGUUACAAAUACCAGCAACCUUGUGGUUCCUAGUCAGAUUUGUUAACACUGAGCCAUGAUGGGAACUCUGAGAAACAAAUAUUUUUUUUUAAAAAAAAAAGAAAGAAAAUAUUUUCUUUCCCACUGUAUAAUUCUGCCAUCUUUGUCCUAGUCUAAUUGACUGUCAGGGGGGUGGGUUUAUUCCUGGGAUCUCCAUCCUUUUACAUUGAUCUAUGCAUUUGGUUUUUAUGCCAGUAAAACAUUGUCUUAAUUAUUGUAGCUUUCAUUGUAUUCUAAUGGGAAGCACGAUGCACCCAGCUAAGGUCUUUUUUUCUCAAGAUUGCUUUGGUUACUGUUCUUUUCUGAUUCUAACUAUAAAAAUUUUAGGAUUAUUUGUUCCAUUUGGUGAAAAAUGUCAUGGGUAUUUUUAUUGGGAUUGCAUUAAAUCUGUUGAUUGCUUUGGGUAUAUGGAUAUUUUAACAAUAUUAAUUCUUCCAAUCCAUGAACAUGGGAUAUCUUUCCAUUUCUUUAUAUCAGCUUCAAUUUCCUUCAUUAGUAUUUUAUAGUUUUCAGAGUAUAGGUCUUUCACUCCUUGGUUAAGUUUAUUCCUAGGUAUUUUAUUCUUUUUGAUGUGAUUGAAAAUAUGCUUGUUUUCUCACUUUCUCUUUCAAAAGUUCAUUAUUAGUGUAUAGAAAAGAAAGUGAUCUGUACACUAAUCUUGAAUCCUGCAAUUUUACUGAAUUCAUCUAUUAGUUCUAAUAGUUUUUUUGUGAAGACAUUAGAAAACUAUAUAUAGUAUCACGUCAUCAACAAAUAGGGAGAGUUUUGUUUUCUCCCUUCCAAUUUGGCUACUUCUUUUUUCUUUUUAUUGCUUGAUUACUGUGGCUAGAACUUCCAAUACUAUGUUAAGUAGAAAUGGCAAGAGUGGGUACCCUUGUCUUAUUCCUGAUUUUAGAGGAAAAGUAUUCAGUAUUUUACCAUUGAGUGUGAUGUCACCUAUGGGUUUUCAUAAAUGGCCUUUAUUAUGUUAUAUGCUCCCUCUGCAAGUACUUUGUUGAAAGUUUUUAUCAAAAAUGAAUGUUGAAUUUUGUCAAAUUAUUUUUCUGUGUCUACUGAGAUGAUCAUGUGAUUUUUUUUGUCUUUUUUUUUUUUUUUUUUUUUUUUUUUUUUUUUGUCUUUAAGGGCCACACCAGCAGCACAUGGAGAUUCCCAGGCUAGAGGCUGAAUUGGAGCUGCAGCUGCUGGUCUACACCAGAACUGCAGCAAUGCGGGAUCCAAGCCGUGUCUGGAAACUACACCACAGCUCAUGGCAAUGCCAGGUCUUUAACCCACUGAGCAAG